This 301-nucleotide ribosomal RNA is filed under the name uncultured bacterium. Its description in RNAcentral is "partial 16S ribosomal RNA". It matches the Rfam family "Bacterial small subunit ribosomal RNA", at positions 509 to 807 of the family's 1533-position model. The record is from RNAcentral.
CAGCCGCCGCGGGAAAACGGAGGGGGCUAGCGUUGUUCGGAAUUACUGGGCGUAAAGCGCACGUAGGCGGCUUGGUAAGUUAGAGGUGAAAGCCUGGAGCUCAACUCCAGAAUUGCCUUUAAGACUGCCGAGCUAGCAGGUGAGAGAGGUAAGUGGAAUUCCGAGUGUAGAGGUGAAAUUCGUAGAUAUUCGGAAGAACACCAGUGGCGAAGGCGGCUUACUGGCUCAUACUGGACGCUGAGGUGCGAAAGCGUGGGGAGCAAACAGGAUUAGAUACCCGGGUAGUCCCUGUCUCUUAUAC